Molecule: non-coding RNA, 300 nt
Organism: Vicia faba (fava bean)
Lineage: Eukaryota; Viridiplantae; Streptophyta; Magnoliopsida; Fabales; Fabaceae
Source: the annotation of a GenBank genome assembly
AUGAGCAACUUGUAUGUUAUUGACACCUUUGAAAACAGCAAGCGGCGGUCUCUUCAUGAGCAACUUGCAUGUUAUUGUUCUCUUGAAAAACAGCAAGCGGCAGUCUCUUCAUGGACAACUUGUAUGUUAUCAACACCUUUUGAAAAUGGCAAGUGGCGGUCUCUUCAUGAGCAGCUUGUACGAAAAAUGGCAAGUGGCAGCUUCUUCAUGAGCAGCUUGUACGUUAGUAUUUUUGGCAAGUGGCAGCUUCUUUAUGAGCAACUUGUGGGUUUUUGGCAACAAGUGGCGGACUCUUCAUGA